GGCAGGCCUGGAAGCCUGACUAACCAGCUCCUCCAGGGUCAAGGUGUUGGGGGAGGGGGUGCAGCAGGAGGUGGCCAGAUCGCCCUGGGCUGUGGAUGCGGAAGAAGCCCCGGCUUGGGCAGCCAUCAUGGGGCUCUCCCAGAGGCAGCUUGGCCCAUUGCUGUCUCUCCUCCUCAUGGGGGCGCUGGUCUGGCCCCCGCCCUGUAUGAGCCUGGAGCUGAUCCCCUACACGCCGCAGAUAACAGCCUGGGACCUGGAAGGGAAGGUCACAGCCACCACGUUCUCCCUGGAGCAGCCACGCUGUGUCCUGGAUGGGCAUGCCGCUGUUGCCAACACCAUCUGGCUGGUGGUGGCCUUCAGCAACGCCUCCAGGGACUUCCGGAACCCACAGACGCUGGCUGAGAUCCCAGCCUUCCCACGGCUGCUGACCGAUGGCCACUAUAUGACGCUGCCCCUGUCCCUGGACCAGCUGCCCUGUGAGGACCCCGUGGGGGGCGGCAGGGGCAUCCCCCUGCUUCGGGUGGGCAAUGACCCUGGCUGCCUUGCUGACCUCCGUGAGCCACCCUUCUGCAACACCCCCCUCCCCAGCCCUGGACCUUACAGGGUGAAGUUCCUCCUGAUGGACGCCAGCGGCUCACCCCAGGCCGAGACCAGGUGGUCCGAUCCCAUUACUCUCCACCAAGGGAAGGCCCCAGGCUCUAUCGACACGUGGCCAGGGCGGCGAAGCGGUGACAUGAUUGUCAUCGCCUCCAUCCUCUCCUCUCUGGCCGGCCUCCUGCUCCUGGCCUUCCUGGCUGCGUCCACCGUGCGCUUCUCCAGCCUGUGGUGGCCGGAGGAAGUCCCGGAGCAGCUGCGGAUUGGCUCCUUCAAGGGGAAGCGCUACAUGACCCACCACAUCCCACCCACUGAGGCCGCCACCCUGCCCGUGGGCUAUGAGCCUGGCCUGGACCCCCUCCCCAGCCUCAGCCCCUAGCCUGGUGGAAGGGGCUGGGGCGGGGCCCUGGGAAGUUGGGGGCCACAUAUGCAGUGCGCAUUCCCAGCUCCUGCGCCCACAUGCCCCUCCCCCAUUGCGCCUCCCUACCCGCCCAAUGUCCCACCACCUGCAGCCCUGCCUUUGCCUUUUCCAUUCUGCCCUCUCUAGGCAACUGAAGUUGCAUCAAGUCUGGGGGGAGGGUCAUGGUCAGGCCAGCAUGCAGCCCCCACUUCCAACCCUACCUCUGUGAGAGGUAAUGUGGAGAGGCCACACUGACCAGAAGCUCCCAGGCUCCAGGAGGGGCCCAGUGGGGGGCUUUGCUCUGCCCUGUGCAGGGGACUGGGCCAGGCCCAUCACCGGGUGCAUGAAGUCCGAGCCUCCCUCUGUCUCUCUGUCCCACCUUCCAGUGGCUGGGGCUGCAGUGAAGCCUUCAGAGGCACCUCCAUUGUUCCCCGGGCAGGGGUACUUUCUGAGGGUGGCCAGAAGUUCAGAGUGUAGAGGCACAUUGUGGCCAUCUGACCACUGAUUCUACCACUUCCAACCCUAUUGCACACAGAUGGCUUACUCAUUCUCGCUCCACCAUUUGUUAAGCACCUGCUGUAUGCCACUGCCAGUGUUAGACAUGGAGCCUCAGGAGGAACCAGUCCUGAACUUGGGGAGCUCACUCACCACUCUGGACCUGAGAUGACCACGUGUCCAGAUGUGACCUGUUACUGUUAGGGCUGUCAGAUUGUCACAUACCCUCGGGUUCAAGCUCCUUAGAUGCUCACCCCAAUGGGCUCUCUGAGGCCCCGGAGCCCCCCACUAUCAGUACACACUUUAGACUUCCCCCUAGCGUCCGACUUCUCGCAGGGCCGGUGGGUCCAGCUUUGGCCACACGGUGGCGCCGGUGCGCCGCAGCCGUCCGGCCCCGCGCACGCGCACUCGUAUUCACAGACCCGCCUGAGGCAAUUGACUGGCAGGUUCCAGCGGUGACCUGAUGCUGAGGAGCCGUCGCCACUUUCUGGAGGUCAGGGCUCCAGACCUCAUCUGGGUCAAGCCAGAGGGAUGAGCAGUCACGCACUCGCUUGAGGGCCGUCCAGUCUACACAACCGCCACCAUUUUCUAGAUGGAGAAACUGAAGCUGGGCGACUUGUCCUCCACGCUCUGCCCACUGCCGCCCCCCCCCCCCCACGCCCCUCUUGUCCCCGGGCAUCUCCCAUCUUAUCCGGUGGGACCGCGGCUCCCAGCAUGCAGGCCCCCCCGCCCCUGCACGGCGCCCGGCCGUGACCCAUGUGUACCUGCCCUCCUCAGAGGUACAGCCCCAGCGAUGUCCCCUGUGUGUGCAGGGCACCCCGGAGCCCUGUGAGGAGCUGUGCUUGCCCCAUCCGACCAUGUGGGGCUUGACUGUGAAGACGGGCCCAA
Prionailurus viverrinus (fishing cat) is the source of this 2377-nucleotide RNA transcript. It is a transcript of the gene named uroplakin 3B, with no coding region annotated. The transcript has 7 exons. NCBI's taxonomy places the organism in Eukaryota, Metazoa, Chordata, Mammalia, Carnivora, Felidae. The record is from RefSeq and is a predicted model, not a curated record.